GAGAGAGAGAGAGAGAGAGAGAGAGAGAGAGAGAGAGAGAGAGAGAGAGAGAGAUCAAGAGAGAGAGAUGACAAUGGUGAUUAGGAGAAGAAGAGAUCAAGCCGUUUCAUAUACUGAAGAGAUGGGGGUAGUUAUGUGGUGGAGUGCACGCAAGCACCAGUGAUUGUUAUUUGCUGAUGUAUGGGAGAAUGAGGGAUACUUAAAGCACUCCAAUGGAUCAUAUAUUUUCCAUGUAUAUUUAAAGUCAUCAAUUAUUUUUCUAAAAAGGAGCUCCAAUGGAUAAUCAUGUAUUUUAUCUAC
This is a long non-coding RNA of Juglans microcarpa x Juglans regia, 300 nucleotides long. RefSeq lists it as uncharacterized. The transcript is spliced from 3 exons. The record is from RefSeq and is a predicted model, not a curated record. NCBI's taxonomy places the organism in Eukaryota, Viridiplantae, Streptophyta, Magnoliopsida, Fagales, Juglandaceae.